CAGUCGCCACGGUAAUACGAAGGUCCCGAGCGUUGUUCGGAAUCACUGGGCGUAAAGGGAGCGUAGGCGGCGUGGUAAGUCAGAUGUGAAAUCCCGGGGCUCAACCCCGGAACUGCAUCCGAUACUGCCGUGCUAGAGGAUUGGAGAGGUAGCUGGAAUUCUUGGUGUAGCAGUGAAAUGCGUGGAGAUCAAGAGGAACACUCGUGGCGAAAGCGAGCUACUGGACAAUAUCUGACGCUGAGGCUCGAAGGCCAGGGUAGCGAAAGGGAUUAGAUACCCGUGUAGUCCCUGUCUCUUAUAC
This 301-nucleotide ribosomal RNA is filed under the name uncultured bacterium. RNAcentral's name for it is "partial 16S ribosomal RNA". It matches the Rfam family "Bacterial small subunit ribosomal RNA", at positions 509 to 807 of the family's 1533-position model. The record is from RNAcentral.